Molecule: long non-coding RNA, 1350 nt
Organism: Carassius gibelio (silver crucian carp)
Lineage: Eukaryota; Metazoa; Chordata; Actinopteri; Cypriniformes; Cyprinidae
Exons: 2
Source: RefSeq, a predicted model, not a curated record
AAAAUAAUUAGGAAUUAAUGUGAAGAUUAAUUUUUAGUCAAUUCUGCAAGACAGACUUUCAGGAAAGGAGGUGGAAUAAAAAUGAGCUCCUAAAUCUUAAUCCUGGAUUCUGGAAGAUAUAUUCCUCAAACCAUCGAACAAGAGGAGGUGGUGCUGGUCCUUCACGAGUCACUCUAAUCUGUUCAUAAAGCCUAUAUAUAAAGACUUAAUAUAUAGUAUUUCACAAUACUUCAUGGUAUUCUAAUUAAAUCAUUUUUUGGAAUCUUAAGUCUCUCAGAGCCUGACACCGAGUAAUUCUGGAGACUCCAGGAAAGUGGCAGUUCUGUAAAAUGUUGGCGCUGGAGACUAAAUGCACCCUGAUAGUUUCACACCUAAUUCACUUAACACACACACACACACACACAUUACCCACAGUGACAGUGGGACUGAGUGACAUCAGAUGUAUGAUAGUUUUUUUUAAUUUUCUAUCAUCCAUACAGUGUUGUAUAGUCAUGAAACUAUGGUCAUGAGACCAGUCAUUCUGAGGAAAUAUGCCUCAGAAUGACUGGUCUUCUAUGUGUACAUUUUUUUUUUUAAGUGUUUAGAAGCUGCACUUUAAAAAAAUAAAAAGACAUUUACUGGUUCCUUUUUUACUAUUAUUUCAAAAAAUCAUCACGGCAAAACCAUUCAAGCUAUCCAAAAUUCAUUCACACCUAUUCUGUAAGAUUAAUUCUUUAAACAGUGGUAAAAGAGGAUGUGGUGCUGAACCUUCAAGAGUCACUCAAAACGUUAUCUGUCCAUAAAGCCUAUAAAGAAUUAUUCUUAAUAUACAGUUCAAAAUACUUCAGCUUGUUAUUCUAAUUAAGUGAGGGUCAUUUUAUCAGUAAAAUAUAUACAAUUCAUUUUUCUUUGAAAGAUUUCUAUAAAUGAUUUAAAUCAUACUCGUUUCUACAAUAAUUAUUUAAAAGUAAUCCUAUAGCUCCCUCUAGUGGCCAUUAUAGGUACUAAGAAUUGCAAGCUUGAUUUAUAAGUUAUGAUAGUUUAAAUUUUAUGCUGGCUCUUGAAAGUGAUAAAGCUAUGAAACUUACUGUGCUUCCUUCAAAUGAGGACUUCUACUUAUAUAAAAAAUUAUGAAGAUUUAGAAUGAAAAAUUGUAAAGAUAUAGUAAAAUAACUAUUGUAUUUUUUUAUGUUACUUUAAUAAAUCUCUAUGGCAACACCAUUUAAGCUAUCCUAAACCCAUUCACAAUUUAACAUCUCAGUAUAUAGGCAUAAUGUUGAAAAAGGAGUAUGGAGUAGUAUGAGUAGGAGUAUGAAUUCAUUUGCAGGCUUUAUCAUAAAUCCACAAUAAAAUUUCUGAGUUCUGUAUCAA